This is a long non-coding RNA of Panicum hallii, 344 nucleotides long. RefSeq lists it as uncharacterized. The record is from RefSeq and is a predicted model, not a curated record. The transcript is spliced from 2 exons. NCBI's taxonomy places the organism in Eukaryota, Viridiplantae, Streptophyta, Magnoliopsida, Poales, Poaceae.
CCCCCGCGCCCCUCUGCCCCGCGCCAUUUUGGUGCUUAUUAGAUAUGUCCUUGAGGGAAUUGGUUUGAUAGAAAAGAAGUUGAAGAAUAGAAUCUGUUGGAAGGGUUUGGAUGAAUCAGGAACUAAUUUGGAUAAUGAUCUUUCAGUUCUGAAGGUACUUAUUUCUGUAUGUUCAUCUUUCAAUUUCUGUAUGCUACUAACUUUGUGAUUGUGGAGUCUUGUUAGUAGUUGGGAGGUAGCUACUAACUUUGUGAUUAUGCUGUACAAAUGUAGUCCCAUGUGAACCAAGAUAAGAACAAGUUAAAGACUUAUGUAAACAUGUUUUUGGCAAUCUUUUGAACAAA